Molecule: long non-coding RNA, 1740 nt
Filed under: Mus musculus (house mouse)
Lineage: Eukaryota; Metazoa; Chordata; Mammalia; Rodentia; Muridae
Description: long non-coding RNA chr2:181551140-181552880
Source: RNAcentral
AUGUAGUGGGAUACGCCUAUAAUCCCAGCACUAGGGAGGCUGAGGUAGGAGGACCUUGAGUUGUAGACCAGUCUGGGCUUACACAGUAAGACCCUAACUCAAAUAAAACAACCUAAAAGAAGAAUGAGAAAUCUAUUAAUUGGCCCAUAUUUGGGACAAAGGAAAAAGAAGUCACUGGUCAACCUGGGGUGCUGGGCCUCUUUUCCUACAGUGACCAGGAACCAGGUCCAGACUUGUAGAUGAUCAGUUGCAGUCUGGUAGCACACCCCUCCUGCAUGUAGCUCUGUGGCCCUUUCCCUCACAUCCUAACGAGCUAGAUCCUGAACUGGGACUUGUGGUGCUGUCAGGAUGAGAACAUGGAAGUUUUGAACCUAGUGUCUUUUGGAAUUCGUAAAGCUAAAUAAAUGAUGUUGAACUUGAAACCCUCCAUAUGUAGAUCAGUUUCAAAGUGAUAAUAGUGAUUGCCACGGCCAGUAAGUACCCUGACCUGUCCCUGUGCAGACUCCCUUGCAGGGUUUUACUAUGUUGAUCUAAGGUCUCCUUGAUUUCAUUUGUCCUAAGCUAAGAACUGGUGAGUCUCAGGAUCAGUCUGACUGUUCUUGUCCAAAUAUAAAUAUUAAAUAGAGAAACACACACACUCCCCUAACUCCUAUACUGGCAGGCAGUGUAGAUGGUGCUGUGCUGUGUUGCCCAGAGAGUGCUGGAAUCUGUGCAUGCAAGCUCAUCCUGUGCAGUGGAGACCACUUCUGACCUACAGAAAGUAGUCGGGAGAGACCCUGGGGGACCCGUCUACCAAGGCUGCUGGAGUGUAGGUUUCUGUUUGUGCCCAGUGAUGUCUUUCCUUGUCUUCCUUUUGACUGUAUUUUAAGAUUACUUUAGAUGAUUCUGUGCAAUGUUUAUGACCUUUCCUACCCUUCUAAUGUUCAGUUAACACAGCCAGUACCCAAUGGGGAAAAACCAGGCUGGGUGAUGGUGGCAGAUGCCUUAUGUCCCAGCACUUGGGAAGCAGAGGCAGGCGGCUCACGGAGCCUGUUCUACAGAACUAGUUCCAGGACAGCCAGGACUACACACAAAGAAAUCCUGUCUUAAGAAGAAAAAAAAAACAAAGCAAAACAAAACAAAACAAAAGAAAAAAGCCAGUGCUUACUGUGGUUAGGCAACUUUUUCCCAAGUUACUUGCUGGAUUUGUUCCUGAAUCAUAAAGCCAGUCUCUUCAGAUGUCAAGAUUUAAUAUCAGUCAGUACCCGUUGUCCUGCUGAUCCAUGGUGUCUGUUACAGGUGAGCCUUGUUAAAGGAGGUGCCAGUGCUGCAGCUGGUAGACUCCAGAGAGAGUGACAUAAUCAUUCAAGCUGCCCCUGAGGGUGUGGGUGCUGUAGUACAGAGAACCUGUGGGCCGUGAGCAUCCUACUUUGGCUUUCAGUGCACCUUUUAUUGAGGAACAGUUGUGAACAGUGUAAACCGUGACUGAUCUUAUUCUUUUUCCAGUAUUUUGAGCUGUGAACCCAUGUGUCCCAGCACUGGCUUGUUCCUUUUUAGUUUGAUUGAAUUAUCCUCCUAUGGAAGUGGCAAAAUCUAUGUCUUUACUGUCCUUACAAGCACAGUGUGUGUUACCACAUACUGUGAGUGUGGGUUGUGGUGUGUGUCAGUGUGUGUACAUAUGUGUAUAUGUAUAUAUCACACAGCAGGCCUGUCAUGCCUCUGUUUGGUGGCAAAGCAACAAGUACAAUAAAAGUCAGCUCC